This 493-nucleotide ribosomal RNA is filed under the name uncultured bacterium. Its description in RNAcentral is "partial 16S ribosomal RNA". It matches the Rfam family "Bacterial small subunit ribosomal RNA", at positions 29 to 523 of the family's 1533-position model. The record is from RNAcentral.
AUUGAACGCUGGCGGCAUGCUUUACACAUGCAAGUCGAACGGUAACAGGUUAAGCUGACGAGUGGCGAACGGGUGAGUAAUGCAUCGGAACGUGCCCGAUCGUGGGGGAUAACGCAGCGAAAGCUGCGCUAAUACCGCAUACGAUCUGAGGAUGAAAGCGGGGGACCGUAAGGCCUCGCGCGAUCGGAGCGGCCGAUGUCAGAUUAGGUAGUUGGUGGGGUAAAGGCCCACCAAGCUGACGAUCUGUAGCUGGUCUGAGAGGACGACCAGCCACACUGGGACUGAGACACGGCCCAGACUCCUACGGGAGGCAGCAGUGGGGAAUUUUGGACAAUGGGCGAAAGCCUGAUCCAGCAAUGCCGCGUGCAGGAAGAAGGCCUUCGGGUUGUAAACUGCCUUUGUACGGAGCGAAAAGGUCCUUUCUAAUACAAGGGGCUCAUGACGGUACCGUAAGAAUAAGCACCGGCUAACUACGUGCCAGCAGCCGCGGUAA